RNAcentral lists this long non-coding RNA (517 nucleotides) under Chrysolophus pictus (golden pheasant). RNAcentral describes it as "lncRNA (ENSCPIG00010000995.1)". Lineage: Eukaryota; Metazoa; Chordata; Aves; Galliformes; Phasianidae. The record is from RNAcentral.
CAGUGUCUUUCCUAUACCUACCAUGGGCCUGGAUCCAUAGGAGAAGGAAGUCUUUUGGCUCACUGCAGCACUCAGCAUCACAGCUCCGCUUCUAAUGUUGGAAUUUAAGAGUUCUGUUGACAUGGAUUUUCAUUACUGCACACCCAGGAUCCAACUUGAUGCCACUUGCAAAAGACAAGAAUGUCUUCUCCAGGUUAUCGCUGGUGCCCACGACAGAGUUGUGAAUGCAAAGGAAGGCUUGCUUCACAGCUUCAAAGAACAGAACUUCAUCAAAGCGUGGUCAUAACUUAACGUCUUUGCUGAACGUUCUACAGAAACCUCUGCUCAGAAAGGGCUGGCUGGAUCUUCUUCAGCAAUACUGUCUACAACUCCAAAUGCAGCCAUCAUUUUGCUAAGAUGGGUGCUGCCAGAUCUGAUAAGAACAAUGGAGAAGGAAAAAGAAAUGUUACAGCUACUAGGAUUCACUGUAGUCACCACUGUCUACACUAGGUAAGGCAAAGGAAAUUCCAAAUUUUUU